Molecule: non-coding RNA, 51 nt
Filed under: human gut metagenome
Also listed under: 1 other name
Source: RNAcentral
AACGAGGACAGAUUUGACUGCUUGCAACCUCAAGAAAAAAUGCUAAAACGA